This 914-nucleotide ribosomal RNA is filed under the name uncultured crenarchaeote. RNAcentral describes it as "bacterial SSU rRNA". It matches the Rfam family "Archaeal small subunit ribosomal RNA", at positions 1 to 922 of the family's 1478-position model. The record is from RNAcentral. Lineage: Archaea; Thermoproteati; Thermoproteota.
UUCCGGUUGAUCCCGCCGGACCUGACUGCUAUCGGAUUGAUACUAAGCCAUGCGAGUCAUUGUAGCAAUACAAGGCAUACGGCUCAGUAACGCGUAGUCAACCUAACCUAUGGACGGGAAUAACCUCGGGAAACUGAGAAUAAUGCCCGAUAGAACACUAUACCUGGAAUGGUUUGUGUUCCAGAUGAUUUAUCGCCAUAGGAUGGGACUGCGGCCUAUCAGUUUGUUGGUGAGGUAAUGGCCCACCAAGACUAUUACAGGUACGGGCUCUGAGAGGAGUAGCCCGGAGAUGGGUACUGAGACACGGACCCAGGCCCUAUGGGGCGCAGCAGGCGAGAAAACUUUGCAAUGUGCGAAAGCACGACAAGGUUAAUCCGAGUGAUUUGUGCUAAACGAAUCUUUUGUUAGUCCUAGAAACACUAACGAAUAAGGGGUGGGCAAGUUCUGGUGUCAGCCGCCGCGGUAAAACCAGCACCUCAAGUGGUCAGGAUGAUUAUUGGGCCUAAAGCAUCCGUAGCCGGCUCUGUAAGUUUUCGGUUAAAUCUGUACGCUUAACGUACAGGCUGCCGGGAAUACUGCAGAGCUAGGGAGUGGGAGAGAUAGACGGUACUCGGUAGGAAGUGGUAAAAUGCUUUGAUCUAUCGAUGACCACCUGUGGCGAAGGCGGUCUACCAGAACACGUCCGACGGUGAGGGAUGAAAGCUGGGGGAGCAAACCGGAUUAGAUACCCGGGUAGUCCCAGCUGUAAACUAUGCAAACUCAGUGAUGCAUUGGCUUGUGGCCAAUGCAGUGCUGCAGGGAAGCCGUUAAGUUUACCGCCUGGGAAGUACGUACGCAAGUAUGAAACUUAAAGGAAUUGGCGGGGGAGCACCACAAGGGGUGAAGCCUGCGGUUCAAUUGGAGUCAACGCCGGG